GACGAACGCUGGCGGCGUGCUUAACACAUGCAAGUCGAGCGGUAAGGCCCUUCGGGUACGACGAGCGGCGAACGGGUGAGUAACACGUGGGUGACCUGCCUCUAGCUCUGGGAGUAAGCCUGGGAAACUGGGUCUAAUACCGGAUAUGACUCCACGGCGCAUGUUGUGGGGUGGAAAGCCUUGUGUGGCUAGAGAUGGGCCCGCGGCCUAUCAGCUUGUUGGUGGGGUGAUGGCC
This 235-nucleotide ribosomal RNA is filed under the name uncultured bacterium. RNAcentral's name for it is "partial 16S ribosomal RNA". It matches the Rfam family "Bacterial small subunit ribosomal RNA", at positions 28 to 265 of the family's 1533-position model. The record is from RNAcentral.